CCCACAGAAUCAGACCAUGACUACCUUC
RNAcentral lists this non-coding RNA (28 nucleotides) under Homo sapiens (human). Lineage: Eukaryota; Metazoa; Chordata; Mammalia; Primates; Hominidae. The record is from RNAcentral.